This 377-nucleotide ribosomal RNA is filed under the name uncultured bacterium. Its description in RNAcentral is "partial 16S ribosomal RNA". It matches the Rfam family "Bacterial small subunit ribosomal RNA", at positions 338 to 732 of the family's 1533-position model. The record is from RNAcentral.
CCUACGGGAGGCAGCAGUGGGGAAUAUUGCACAAUGGGGGAAACCCUGAUGCAGCGACGCCGCGUGAGUGAAGAAGUAAUUCGUUAUGUAACGCUCUAUCAGCAGGGAAGAAAAUGACGGUACCUGAGUAAGAAGCCCCGGCUAACUACGUGCCAGCAGCCGCGGUAAUACGUAGGGGGCAAGCGUUAUCCGGAUUUACUGGUUGUAAAGGGUGCGUAGGCGGCAGUGCAAGUCUGGCGUGAAAGGCGGGGGCUCAACCCGCGGACUGCUGUGGAAACUGGACGGCUGGAGUGCAGGAGAGGUAAGCGGAAUGCGUAGUGUAGCGGUGAAAUGCGUAGAUAUUAGGAGGAACACCAGUGGCGAAGGCGGCUUACCGG